ACUGGGAACUUGGGGGACAGGAGGGCAGCACAGUGUAAGCUAAAGCCCUGUGUAGGGACCCCACCCAAAGACCUCGUGGGCCUGGGUGUCCAGGGCACCAUUUCCACCCAUGGGUGAAAAAGAGGCUUGAGGAAGACAACAGGUUCUUCACCUGCAUCUGUGGAUAUAUAUUUUUUUUAAGUUUAUUAAUUUUUUUUUUUAAAUGACAGGUUCAGACCUGCCCUUUGUGGUUUGUGUUUUUGUUUGUUAAUACAGGGUCUCUGUCUCCCACGCUGGAGUGCAGUGAUGUAAUCUCGGCUCACUGCAACCUUGACCUCAAGGUUAAGCUCCAGCGAUCUUCCGACCUCAGCCUCCCAAGCAGCUGGGACCACAGGCAUGCAUGCGCCACCCCCCCCCCAGCUCAUUUCAUUUUUUAUUUUUGUAGAGAUAGGGUCUCACCAUGUUGCCCAGGCUGAUCUCGAACUGCUGGGAAUACAGGCAUGAGCCACGGUGCCCAGCCUUUGUUGUUGUUGUUGUUGCUAUUUUGGCAACAUCACGGCAGAACGGUAAAGGCAGAAAGCACAGUGCCCAGCAGCUAGCAGUGUGGCGUGCCAAGAAGGCUGUUCCAAUGGGGGAGAAGCCAGCAGACACAGGCAUCAUGGCGAGCCCCGACUGAGUGUUCAGUGAAGCGGGAAAACAGAGACAGUGGGGCAUCCCAAGAAGAUCCUCUGCAGGAGUGCGGUGUCUAUGGAUGGACCAAGAAAACCUACGCAGGAUCCACGUGGAAACAAAGCUGCUUAGCUCUGCAUAUCAGUGCUUCUCGGCGGAGCUGUGGCUGAUGGGCUCCUGGUGCAGGACUGGCCCCUGAACAGCACAAGUGUAGUAUGCCUGGGCCCCAGGUCAUCAUGAAAACCAGAAGCAGACACUCGGGAGGCUGAGGCGGGAGGAUCACCUGAGCCCAGGAGAUCGAGGCUGCAGUGAGCUGUGAUCGUGCCACUGUGCUCCGGGAUGGGCAACAGAAAGACCCCAUCUCAAAAAAGCAGAAGCACAUUUCCGAAGCCCCCCAAGCCCACGGGCGUGAGUGCAUGCAUGCGUUUGUGACAGCCUGGUGCUCGGAUGGGCCCAGAGCAGGGGUUCUCAACCUUGGCCCAUUAGAAUUACCUGAAAAUUUUUAAGAUAAUUCACAUCCGGCCAGGCAUGGUGGCUCAUGCCUGUAAUCCCAGCACUUUGGGAGUCCGAGGCGGGCGGAUCACCUGAGGUCAGGAGUUCAAGACCAGCCUGAGCAACAUGGAGAAACCCUGUCUCUACUAAAAAUACAAAAUUAGCUGGGCAUGGUAGCACAUGCCUGUAAUCCCAGCUACUUGGGAAGCUGAGGCAGGAGAAUGGCUUGAACCCAGUAGGCAGAGGUUGCGGUGAGCCAAGAUCGUCCCGUUGCACUCCAGCCUGGGGAACAAGAGUGAAACUCCAUUCCAAGAAAAAAAAAAAAAAUUCACAUCCAAAAUUUUAAAGAUAAUUCACAUCCAAAUCAACUCAAUCAGAAUCUCUCGGGGUGGGCCUCAGGCACCAGUGUUUUUUUGUUUGCUGGGACAGGGUCUUGCCGUUGCCCAUGCUGGAUUCAAAACACCUGGGCUCGGCAGGUGUUGUGGUUCAUGUCUGUAAUCCCAGCACUUUGGGAGGCCGAGGCAGGCAGAUCACUUGAGGUCAGGAGAUCUUCACCAGCCUGACCAUCAUGGUGAAACCCCAUCUCUACUAAAAAUACGAAGAUCAGCCAGGCCUGGUUGUAUGCACCUGUAAUCCCAGCUACUUGGGAGGCUGAGGCAGUGAGCCGAGAUCAUGGAACUGCACUCCAGCCUGGGCUAGAGCAAGACUCUGAAAAAGCAAAUAAACCGAAACUCUUGGGCUCAAGCAAUCCUCCGCCUCAGCCUCUGGAGCAGCUGCAAUUACAGACAGGCGCCACCACCUCCAGCAAGUACCAGUGUUUUUAAAACCUCCCUGGUAGAUUCCGUUGUGCAGCCCAGGCCGAGAAGCAUCGCGGAGUCUUGUCAUUCAGCCUGAAAUAGCAUCAAGUUCCCAUCCACUCGAACAACAGUUUGUAGAUCUUAGGCUGCUCUCAUCGAGCAAACAUGGCCUCCUUGCAACACCUCAAAUGGGUGCCAGGCAUGGUACGCAGCACACAAACUGUGUCACUUGAUACAGCGGCCCCAUGAGGCGAGGAGCUGGGAGGUCACAGAACAUGCCCCAGGGCACCCAGGGACACACUGAAGCCCAGGCCUCCAGCACGCAAGGGCUGCUCUGAAGAAACACGGGAGGUCCUCACUGGAGGGUCUGGGGCCACACCGUGGGUCCAGAGACAGAACAAACAGGAGGCAGAAACGAGGAGAGGACGGGCUCACCCAGCCGUGGGGCCGCGGGCUGGACAUCCAGUGGGAGUGGAAGCCGCCGUCUCAAGGCAGAAUUCCCUCUCUGGGACACCUCGGGUUUUGCUCUUAAAGCUUUCAGCUGAUAGGAUGAGGCCCACCCACAUUCUCAAGGAUGAUCUUUAGGUGAAAUGGACUGUAGGUGUUCACCACAUUCCAGCAGCACACGAUCACAGCAACACCUCGGCCCGUCGCGAUGAGAUCACUGGGCCCCACAGCCUGGCCUGGUUGACACGAAAGACUGACUAGCACACACGGUAAUUCUCCAGAAAUAUCCAGGCCAAGUUCUUCCACUUUCCUGUCAUAAGCAGCUGGUACUGUCCUUUGUGAGGCUGGCAAGAUGGGCUCAACAGGUCACAACCAAUGAUCAUGCUGGCAAGCCAGCAGUGGCAGGCACACGUCCCCAGCCAGAGAGGGACCGUGAUGGUUUGGAGGACAGCAUCUGCACAGAUAGGGGCUGGAAACCCUACGUCGGUCCCUGUGGACUGUCACGUCACUUUCUGGACUGCCCACGCAGCUUCACCCAGCAGCACUCGCACCUGAAGACGCUGCCACAGUUGGCUGCCCAGAAUCGGCACCAGCUACUUGCUGAGGCCCAGAAGCACCACUUGGCUCAGAUCCACCCAGAUGCCAACUCUGUCGGGCCCCUGUGGCAGCACCCAGAUGUCUGCAGAGCACAGGAGCAUCCCCAUGGGAUUGGGUGGGCUAGACCCAGCGUGGGGGUCUGCUAGCAGCCAGUAGCAUCUCCAUCUGGGUCUGACCCUUUUCUGGGCCCAUCGCUCUUUGACCAUUUCCCCACCUGGGUUCAUUCCCCCAAUCCCAAGCGCAGCUCCUGCAGGCCUGGAGCCCUGGGCCGUGACAGGCUGGUCCCCACAGGCCUGGAGCACUGGUGCUGUGACAGGCUGGUCCCCCCAAGCCUGGAACCCUGCGCCGUGACGGGCUGGUCCCCACAGACCUGGAGCACUGAGGUCAUGACGGGCUGGUCCCCGCAGACCUGGAGCCCUGGGCUGUCAUGGGCUGGUCCCUGCAGACCUGGAGCACGGGGUCAUGACAGGCUGGUCCCGGAAUCCCUGUGCCCACCCCCCACAGCCUACGGUUUUCGGUAUCCCACGGGCUCCUCAAACUCAGCCCAGUCAGACCCAGGAUCACCACCCCCCAGCCAGCUGCUGGCAGCCAGAAGCAGGGGGCCAGCCCCACCUCACCAAGCCCUGUUCGCCUCCAAGCACAGGUGCUGGUUACCUAUGCCUGGGAGGCAACUGUCCCCACAACUCAUUUGCAACUGAUAUGUCUCCCCUCCAAGUCCCUCUCUAAAUUUGCCUCCUGCUCCAGUAGAUGCUACAGCAUCACCCAAUGGUUGACGCAUCGCUCUGGUCACAAUCCGUGCCUGCUCGGCUCACUUGUGCAGGUGUAAGCCCCUCCUGGGCGCGAGUUCAGGCUGGUCAAAGGCAGCAAGCGAAUCAAGCCCUGGCGCGGUCCAGCCCCUGCCAUCUGGGGCUUGGCCAGCAGAGGGCGCCCCCACUCCAGCUGAGGUUCCCAGGACCCAGACCUGCGCCUGGAGGUGGCCCCAGGGCAGCGGGAAGCAGGCCCUGGGUGUGGUCACACACACAGAGCCCCAAGGGACAAGCCCAUUUGCAAAACCCCUUUAAUCAGAAUAAAUAGAGUCCCAGGCAGGGCAGAGUUCACUGGGGAUGCCCAAGCCGGAUUCACCCACCCUUCCAGCUCCAGCCUAGGCGCAGCCGCGGCUUUCGAGAGGCGAAACUGUCUUCCUUGUCCUGGUGUCCCAGCAGGGUCACUGGGAGGCAACAGUGUGGUCUCAGGGUGCUGGGCGGGCCCGUGAGGCCCAUCGCCGUCCCCCUAGGCAUCCUGUUCAUCUGUGAGCAGGGCAGGGGGUGCCGCAGCCUCCUCGGUUGUCCCAACCCU
RNAcentral lists this long non-coding RNA (4316 nucleotides) under Pan troglodytes (chimpanzee). RNAcentral's name for it is "long non-coding RNA NONPTRT006937". Lineage: Eukaryota; Metazoa; Chordata; Mammalia; Primates; Hominidae. The record is from RNAcentral.